Molecule: long non-coding RNA, 798 nt
Filed under: Nicotiana benthamiana
Lineage: Eukaryota; Viridiplantae; Streptophyta; Magnoliopsida; Solanales; Solanaceae
Description: long non-coding RNA (NBEN_LNC028842)
Source: RNAcentral
AGUAAAGUUGUCUAGUAACAAUAUAGAAGUAAAAGGAAGGAAUCUGUACAUUUAAUGUUGAAUUUGAUAUGUAUACAAAGGAGUUGCACCAAAAGGAACAAAUGGCACAAACUACGGAACACCGAACCGGCGACGGAACCUUGAACAGAAGAUCGGGACUCACAGCUUCGAGCGACCUUGUAAACAUAGUGAUUUUGAGGCUAUUUUUAUGAGGUUUGAAGGAGCUGAUCCGUGGAAAAUUUUGCUGCAUUUUUAGUAACAAAUAAGGGCUGAUUUUCGAUGUUUUUUCAGGUAUUUUCGGAUGGUUUUGAACUGGGAUUCAUGGCUGUUUGAGGGCUGAUUCGGGAGCUUUUAUGUGGUAGUAUUUAUGGAGGUUUGGUAGUUGAUCAGUUUAGUUCUGCUUGUCACGACUGGAGCUCGUUAAUCCAGCGAGCUGCCGGAGCUCGUUUCUCCGGCGAGUUUCAGGCAGAAGAAGAAGAGUGAUAACAGUUGUUUAAUUUAGAGCCCUAGGCGUUUGGCUGCUCGAAGAUGAAGACGUCCAAUUUUUUCAUCUAGGGGUCGCUGGUUUUUUUUUUUGUUGCCUUUUUUUUCCAGAUCUGUUCCCUUUUUUAUGUUUUUCAGUUCAUUUCGGUGUCUAGCCAGAAGAAGAGAAAUGGUUGCUAGUUGAUUUUGUUGAAGGUCUAUGCGUGGCUACGCAGCUUUUUUGUCCUCUUUUUGUUAUUAGAGUCUUGGGUCUAUGUAUUUUAGGUGUAGAUAAUAUUAUACAGGAUAUGGAUUAGAUUAGGGUAUGAACCUAUG